AGUGAACGCUGGCGGUAGGCCUAACACAUGCAAGUCGAACGGCAGCACAGUAAGAGCUUGCUCUUACGGGUGGCGAGUGGCGGACGGGUGAGGAAUACAUCGGAAUCUACUUUUUCGUGGGGGAUAACGUAGGGAAACUUACGCUAAUACCGCAUACGACCUACGGGUGAAAGCAGGGGAUCUUCGGACCUUGCGCGUUUGAAUGAGCCGAAGUCGGAUUAGCUAGUUGGCGGGGUAAAGGCCCACCAAGGCGACGAUCCGUAGCUGGUCUGAGAGGAUGAUCAGCCACACUGGAACUGAGGCACGGUCCAGACUCCUACGGGAGGCAGCAGUGUGGAAUAUGCGGCAGUGGGCGCAAGCCUGAUCCAGCCAUACGGCGUGGGUGGAGAAGGCCUUCGGGUUGUAAAGCCCUUUUGGUGGGAAAGAAAAGCAGCAGGUUAAUACGCCGCUGUGCUGACGGUACCCAAAGAAUAAGCACCGGCUAACUUCGUG
RNAcentral lists this ribosomal RNA (492 nucleotides) under uncultured bacterium. Its description in RNAcentral is "partial 16S ribosomal RNA". It matches the Rfam family "Bacterial small subunit ribosomal RNA", at positions 29 to 507 of the family's 1533-position model. The record is from RNAcentral.